GAUGAACGCUGGCGGCGUGCCUAAUACAUGCAAGUCGAGCGAACGGACGAGAAGCUUGCUUCUCUGAUGUUAGCGGCGGACGGGUGAGUAACACGUGGAUAACCUACCUAUAAGACUGGGAUAACUUCGGGAAACCGGAGCUAAUACCGGAUAAUAUUAUGAACCGCAUGGUUCAAAAGUGAAAGACGGUCUUGCUGUCACUUAUAGAUGGAUCCGCGCUGCAUUAGCUAGUUGGUAAGGUAACGGCUUACCAAGGCAACGAUGCAUAGCCGACCUGAGAGGGUGAUCGGCCACACUGGAACUGAGACACGGUCCAGACUCCUACGGGAGGCAGCAGUAGGGAAUCUUCCGCAAAGGGCGAAAGCCUGACGGAGCAACGCCGCGUGAGUGAUGAAGGUCUUCGGAUCGUAAAACUCUGUUAUUAGGGAAGAACAUAUGUGUAAGUAACUGUGCACAUCUUGACGGUACCUAAUCAGAAAGCCACGGCUAACUACGUG
Molecule: ribosomal RNA, 497 nt
Filed under: uncultured bacterium
Lineage: Bacteria
Description: partial 16S ribosomal RNA
Rfam family: Bacterial small subunit ribosomal RNA
Source: RNAcentral